AAGGAGAGUCACGUGGGCGAUCCACGUGCACGCGAUUGAAUGACUGAGGUCCAUUCCCGCUCGCACGGACGACCCAUAGUGAAUCAUGCAUGGGCGGCCUAAAUUGGAUCGUGUUGAACGAUCCAGAUUCACUCCCUAUUUAAUCGCGAUUGGACGGUCUAAAUUAAAAGCGGAUAGAUAUAAAUAACUCCAUCCGUACCCAAACCCUAACCCUAGCUGCCAGAACCCUUCGCCGGAGAAGACAACCCAGCCGCCAGGGAGCU
Molecule: long non-coding RNA, 263 nt
Filed under: Carica papaya (papaya)
Lineage: Eukaryota; Viridiplantae; Streptophyta; Magnoliopsida; Brassicales; Caricaceae
Description: long non-coding RNA (CPAP_LNC000704)
Source: RNAcentral